RNAcentral lists this ribosomal RNA (327 nucleotides) under uncultured bacterium. RNAcentral's name for it is "bacterial SSU rRNA". It matches the Rfam family "Bacterial small subunit ribosomal RNA", at positions 1134 to 1461 of the family's 1533-position model. The record is from RNAcentral.
GACACUAUAGGGGGACUGCCGGUGAUAAGCCGGAGGAAGGUGGGGAUGACGUCAAGUCUUCAUGGCCCUUACGGGCUGGGCUACACACGUGCUACAAUGGCGGUGACAGAGGGUUGCUACACAGCGAUGUGAUGCUAAUCCCUAAAAGCCGUCUCAGUUCGGAUUGCACUCUGCAACUCGGGUGCAUGAAGUCGGAAUUGCUAGUAAUCGCAGAUCAGCACGCUGCGGUGAAUACGUUCCCGGGCCUUGUACACACCGCCCGUCACACCAUGGGAGUUGGUUCUACCCGAAGCCGGUGCGCUAACCGCAAGGAAGCAGCCGACCACG